AGGCCAUUCAGUGACUAACCCGAUUUGGGAUUUAUCCCAUGGGAGGGCACCAAACUCUGACACUAUUGCUGAUGCAAGCUUUUUUUUCUUUUUUCUUUUUUUUUUUCUUUUGACAGAAUCUCACUAUGUAGACAACACGAACUUUGAAUUCACAGAGAUCCUUCUCCUCUCAAGUAUUGGGAUUAAAGGAAUGUGUCACACUAUGCCCGGCUGCAGACUGUUAUUGCUUUAUAACAAAGUUGAUUUUAAAGGGAAUGCUUUAUAUGCUCAAUAUACACAUUAAUUCUUUUUUCAGCCACCUUGUCCUUAGCCAGGUGAAGUGACAUAUGACUUUAGUCCAAAAACUCACUUGGUAGAAACAGGCAAAUAUCUGUGAGUGUGUGGCCAUUUGGGUCUACAUAGUGAGUUUCAGGUUUACCUGGUAUAUAGAGAGAGACUCUCUGUCAAAAAAUAAAACAACAAACAGAUACCAAGCUCGCCAAUGAGUUGCUCAUUUACUACACUGCCAACAGCAUGCCGGGUUGCAUUGUAGAGCCUCAUACUUUUGCCAUGGUGACAUUUGUGGGGCGUUAGUUUGUGAACAACACCCAUUCCUCAUGUAUCUAAAUACCACUUUUCUUAUACAUUCUCCUAUAUCUGACCAAAGGGAAGACCCCCGUUCUCUUAGGGGCCUAACACAGAAGGCACUGCUCAUCUUCCUUGUUUGUCAUUUUAAAGAAUUACUGCCAAAUGAUGGAAACGUUUGUUCCCGUUUUUAUUUCUGAGUGUACUCUGGAUCUAUGAUUCACAGUCAGGUGUAGUUAACAAUGUUUUCUCUCAUUCUGUGUGUUGUCUUUUCACUUGAGUAACCAUUUCCUUUGUUUUUACAGAGCUUUUGAAUUUUGUGACAUCCAUUAGCUUAUCGUCACUAUUAUUUCCUGAGGAACAACAAGACCUUCAGGAGUUCCUCACCUCUGUCUGUAUCCUGAAUAAUGUUCCCCUAUGUAUUCCUCUAAAAGGUUCGACUUGGAAGCUCCUACAUUGAGGCUUUUAGAUUGAAAUACCUAGAUUAGGAAUGAUUUUUGUGCAGGGUGAGAGAUAAAGAUCGGUUUUCAUUCUUAUACACGAAAGAUCCCCAGUGAAACUUGUGUUAGUGUUUUUGAAAAUGGCUUGGAAAACCUAGGCUGGAAGAGGGUGUAUGUAUGGCCUUCUUCAUAGGAGAUCAUUCAUCAUUUGCUAUCUGCAAACUCAGGUAGCGAAGGCUAGUUGCAACAACCUAUACUAAGACCCAUGUGUCCACUAAAGAUGUUUUCAGAGGUAAGAAUGACCUGUGGAAUUU
Molecule: long non-coding RNA, 1318 nt
Filed under: Mus musculus (house mouse)
Lineage: Eukaryota; Metazoa; Chordata; Mammalia; Rodentia; Muridae
Description: long non-coding RNA chr7:42508671-42509989
Source: RNAcentral